Molecule: long non-coding RNA, 1010 nt
Organism: Papaver somniferum (opium poppy)
Lineage: Eukaryota; Viridiplantae; Streptophyta; Magnoliopsida; Ranunculales; Papaveraceae
Exons: 5
Source: RefSeq, a predicted model, not a curated record
UAUAUUCAUUUAGAGUUUGGUGAUUCAAAUUUUUUGAUUUUUCAAGAUGCUGAGAUUUUUUUAACUUACCCUUGCGAUGUUCAUUGGGUCUUCUCGAAAUACUUUAACUUAUUAUUGCAAGCAUUAUUAGAUAGGUUUCAUACAAGCGUUUUGGAACUUCGCUGCUCACCUCAUUCGCCACUCAAGUCUAGCUCUUGCAAACUUCGAUGAUACUGAUUGCUGAUUAUUGAAAAUCUCUUAAAGAAUUUUCUUUGCAGGCUCUGGACAUGCUUCGUGGCGGGGACUCUUCUGUAGAUGCUCAUGCACUAGAAUCAUUCGUCUAAGAGUUGCGGUUACAACAUUUCAGGUGUCAAAUAAUGGAAAUGUUGUCUCUGAUCCAGUAUGCAAGGUCUCUAACAACGACUAAAUUUUUCAUGUUAAAGAAGACACCGAAAACAUGGGAGGCGCAUAAAUUAUUUAAGAAACUUCGCUGGUAAAGCCCUAUGAUAAUUUGGUUUGGUUCAAGCUGUGGUUCUUCAUCUUCUACAUUUAUCCUAUUCCAGAACUGACAAAAGUAUAUGCUUAGCUGAAAAUUAGAAUAAAAUCUCGCCGAGAUGAUCAAUUCAGUUCUGGAAUCAAACGUGCCAUAAAUAGUGGUGAACGAGAAGCACCAAAUUUGACCAAGCUUGGUUCUAAUUGAACUACUGAGCUUCACCCUGAAUAUGAUUAUGAUGAAUCCAAAGCCACUACUGUGCCACUUGCUAGUGUUAUGACUAGGGUCAUUUUGAUCAUGGUAUAACAAAAACUCAUCAGAAAUCCCAACACUUACUCGAGUCUCAUUGGUCUCAGCUAGUCUCUAGUAUCUUUCAGGUUCUUCAUCAUCUUGGUCAAGAUGAGAAUUCGUCCUCAUCGUAUGAUCAUCCUCUCAAAACCACAAUAAUUUGUUGCAUUCUGAUUACUCACUGUAAGAGAUUGUAACAUUCUGUUUCUAUAUGCAAUCCUUAGAAGCUCAAACAAACAUAGUUUCACUA